This 494-nucleotide ribosomal RNA is filed under the name uncultured bacterium. RNAcentral's name for it is "partial 16S ribosomal RNA". It matches the Rfam family "Bacterial small subunit ribosomal RNA", at positions 28 to 507 of the family's 1533-position model. The record is from RNAcentral.
GACUAACGCUGGCGGCGCGCUUAACACAUGCAAGUCGAACGGAAAGGCCUGCUUUCCCUUGUGGAUUGCGGGUACUCGAGUGGCGAACGGGUGAGUAACACGUGAGUGAUCUGCCCCCAACUUGGGUAUAAGCCUGGGAAACUGGGUCUAAUUCCCGAUAGGACUGCAGGGUGGUGCCUGUGGUGGAAAACGAUUUUCUAGUGGUUGGGGAUGAGCUCGCGGCCUAUCAGCUUGUUGGUGGGGUAAUGGCCUACCAAGGCGGCGACGGGUAGCCGGCCUGGGAGGGUGGACGGCCACAUUGGGACUGAGAUACGGCCCAGACUCCUACGGGAGGCAGCAGUGGGGAGUAUUGCGCAAUGGGCGGAAGCCUGAUGCAGCGACGCCGCGUGGGGGAUGACGGCCUUCGGGUUGUAAACUCCUUUCGACCGCGAGGAAGCCACCUGGUUGGAAGGGUGGUGACGGUAGUGGUAGAAGAAGCACCGGCUAACUACGUG